Molecule: ribosomal RNA, 566 nt
Filed under: Clavispora lusitaniae
Lineage: Eukaryota; Fungi; Ascomycota; Pichiomycetes; Serinales; Metschnikowiaceae
Description: eukaryotic LSU rRNA
Rfam family: Eukaryotic large subunit ribosomal RNA
Source: RNAcentral
UUGUAUAUCAUUAAGCGGAGGAAAAGAAACCAACAGGGAUUGCCCCAGUAACGGCGAGUGAAGCGGCAAAAGCUCAAAUUUGAAAUCCUGCGGGAAUUGUAAUUUGAAGGUUUCGUGGUCUGAGUCGGCCGCGCCCAAGUCCAUUGGAACAUGGCGCCUGGGAGGGUGAGAGCCCCGUCUGGCGCACGCCGACUCUUUGCACCGCGGCUCCGACGAGUCGAGUUGUUUGGGAAUGCAGCUCUAAGUGGGUGGUAAAUUCCAUCUAAAGCUAAAUAUUGGCGAGAGACCGAUAGCGAACAAGUACAGUGAUGGAAAGAUGAAAAGCACUUUGAAAAGAGAGUGAAACAGCACGUGAAAUUGUUGAAAGGGAAGGGCUUGCAAGCAGACACGGUUUUUUACCGGGCCAGCGUCGAAAAGGGGGGAGGAACAAGAACUCGAGAAUGUGGCGCGCACCUUCGGGUGCGCGUGUUAUAGCUCGUGUUGACGCCUCCAUCCCUUUUCGAGGCCUGCGAUUCUAGGACGCUGGCGUAAUGGUUGCAAGCCGCCCGUCUUGAACCACACCACAA